This 359-nucleotide ribosomal RNA is filed under the name uncultured bacterium. RNAcentral's name for it is "bacterial SSU rRNA". It matches the Rfam family "Bacterial small subunit ribosomal RNA", at positions 29 to 417 of the family's 1533-position model. The record is from RNAcentral.
AACGAACGCUGGCGGCAGGCCUAACACAUGCAAGUCGAACGCUCCGCAAGGGGAGUGGCGCACGGGUGAGUAACACGUGGGAACCUACCUUCUGGUACGGAACAACCAAGGGAAACUUUGGCUAAGACCGUAUACGACCUCCGGGUGAAAGAUUGAUCGCCGGAAGAGGGGCCCGCGUCCGAUUAGGUAGUUGGUGAGGUAACGGCUCACCAAGCCUUCGAUCGGUAGCUGGUCUGAGAGGAUGACCAGCCACACUGGGACUGAGACACGGCCCAGACUCCUACGGGAGGCAGCAGUGGGGAAUCUUGGACAAUGGGCGCAAGCCUGAUCCAGCCAUGCCGCGUGGGUGAAGAAGGCCU